RNAcentral lists this ribosomal RNA (198 nucleotides) under uncultured bacterium. RNAcentral's name for it is "partial 16S ribosomal RNA". It matches the Rfam family "Bacterial small subunit ribosomal RNA", at positions 1303 to 1500 of the family's 1533-position model. The record is from RNAcentral.
GGCUGAAAUUCGCCUUCAUGAAGCUGGAAUUGCUAGUAAUGGCAGGUCAGCAUACUGCCGUGAAUACGUUCCCGGGCCUUGUACACACCGCCCGUCACACCAUGAGAGUUGGAAAUACCCGAAGCCUGUGAGCUAACUGUAAAGAGGCAGCAGUCGAAGGUAGAGCCAAUGAUUGGGGUGAAGUCGUAACAAGGUAAC